UGCUGGACCCAUAUAUAGUUCCACCUAGAUUUUGUCCUUAUGUACUCUCUUUUUGGUGGAUUUGGAAACUGUAUUUAAGGACAGUUUCUGGAUGUAGGUCACAAUGGCCAGCUCUGGCCAGCUCUACAGCUUCUAAGCAGUUAGAUGAGUUGAGGUAUUCAAGAGUUGAGCAAGUAUGUAUUGUUCCAGUCCCUACUGAUUAUGGGAGGUCUGCUGUACACUUACCUUACAGGCAUGGCAUUCCCUGGAGUGAGGGCACUGUCUUCCCCUUCCGUUCUCUCUGUGCCUGGAUAGUGCAGACUUGAUCUGGGAAGAGUCAGGCAAGUUCUUUAGGGCUGUGCCAACAUCAUCUCCCCUAGUAGCAUGACUGAGGGACCAGAACACUGGCUGGCAAGGAGAUACCUUAUUUCAAGCCUGCUCUGCCAUGUACUCACUUGUAACCUGGGGCAAGUACUCAUCUCUCUGGGCUUGUAGUUCUUUGUAAAAUGCUCAUAAAAUACAUGUCCUGCCUAUUUCAUGUCUGAGAAGGCAAGUUAUAGCUGCCACACAAAUGUAGAGAAUUAUCUCUGUGACUGGCCUGUUCUUCUCCAUCCCUUACCCCUAGGUCAGAUGGCACCCUUCUUGACUGCCUUAGUCUGUUCAGGCUGCUUAACACAAUACCACAGACUGGGUGGCUUGUAAACAACAUAAAUUUAUUCCCCACAGUUUGGGAGUCCAAGACUGAGGUGCUGGCAGACUUGGUGUCUGGCAAGGCCUGCUUCCUGGUUCAUCCAUGGACAGCAGUCUUGCUCUGUGUCCUCGCUUGGCCAGAAGGGGUAAGGGUCCCUUUAUAAGGGCAGUGAUCCCCUUCCUGAGGGCUUCACCCACAUGACCUAAUCACCCCCAAAAGCCCCCCUCCAGAUGCCAUCACAUUGGGGAUUAGGUUUCAAUAUGCGAAUUGAUGAGGAGGGGCACCAACAUUCAGUCUGUGGCAUGGACUUUGCUAGUUUAUAUUUUAGUGGAUAUUUUUUCAUUAUGCUCUUUUGUUACAGUCCUCUGUGUUCUUAUCUUUUACCCAUUCAUACUUUCUAAGUACUUUGAGGGCAAGGAGUAGGCCAAAGGUCUUUCCAGUGAACCCUGGCCUAUUCUCAGUCGUUACUAUUUGGUUGUACUUGAACUGAAUUAAAUUAAAUAAUUUAAUAAUAACAAUAGUGGUAAUAUUUGUACUGACAACAAUAAUAGCAGCAAAUAUUGAAUGCAUAUUUAUGUAUCAGUUACUGUGUUGAGCAUUUUAUAUGGAAUCUUCUUAACUCCCCAUAGCCAUCCUGUGAGGUGCAGAUGUAUUCCCUUAUUACAUAUGUAAUGUGUAAUGUAUUCCCUUAUUUUACAUAUUAGGAAACUUAUGUGGUUAAUAGUCUGCCCACAGCUGGUCAGCGAGGAUUUGAACCCUGGCUCCUGACUCUGGAGCCCUUUCCCUUAACCCAGUUUGCUCUCCUGCUUCUCGCUUCAUGGGGGAGGGAGGGAUAGUGCUCUGCUGCCCGCCUGCCAUUGUCAUUCAACGUGUGUCAGGCACCUAGAACUGGCCAGAAUGGGGGGGAGCUUGGUGAUUGAUCACCUGGUUGAUCCUCCUGAACUUACCUUUGAAGGAACUGAGUUUCUUGUAGAGGUCAACUGAUAUACUCAAGGCCGUCCAGCUAUUUACUGGUGAUUUUCUGCACAUUUAUUU
This is a long non-coding RNA of Phyllostomus discolor (pale spear-nosed bat), 1705 nucleotides long. RefSeq lists it as uncharacterized. Lineage: Eukaryota; Metazoa; Chordata; Mammalia; Chiroptera; Phyllostomidae. The record is from RefSeq and is a predicted model, not a curated record. The transcript has 2 exons.